This 199-nucleotide ribosomal RNA is filed under the name uncultured bacterium. RNAcentral's name for it is "partial 16S ribosomal RNA". It matches the Rfam family "Bacterial small subunit ribosomal RNA", at positions 335 to 526 of the family's 1533-position model. The record is from RNAcentral.
ACUCCUACGGGAGGCAGCAGUGGGGAAUUUUGGACAAUGGGCGCAAGCCUGAUCCAGCCAUGCCGCGUGAGUGAAGAAGGCCUUCGGGUUGUAAAGCUCUUUCGGCCGGGAAGAAAUCGUGGUCUCUAACAUAGGCCAUGGAUGACGGUACCGGACUAAGAAGCACCGGCUAACUACGUGCCAGCAGCCGCGGUAAUAC